AUGUCUGUAUUAUAAUAUUGUCAUUUUAGAGAAACGCUGGAAAAAGUAUAAUGGUCAUUGCUAUUAUUUUACUACAAGCAGCCACAGGGCAACUUGGUUUAAAGCAGAGAGCUAUUGCAGGAAAAUCGGAGGAUACUUAGUGAAACUUGACACAACGUCAGAAAACAAAUGGGUAUAUGCACAUAGAUCCCACAAUAAUGCCUUUUGGAUCGGUUUAACGGAUCUCUACGAAGGACAUUUCCGAUGGAUUUUCGACCAAUCAAAAACCACUUUCACAAACUGGGUAAGUGGGUAUGGAUCAAAGGGAACCAGCAGCAAUUGUGUAUCUUACAACAGUGGCAAUAAACCAGAGUGGUAUGACAACAGCUGUUACAACAGUCGCCCGUUCAUAUGCGAGACUAACUAUUGUGGGUAGACAGAUGGUUGAAAAGAAGAGAUUAUACGAUUUUAUUAUAAUGUCAAUAAAUCUGCAUCAACUCAC
Long non-coding RNA from Mytilus californianus (California mussel), 481 nucleotides. RefSeq lists it as uncharacterized. The transcript is spliced from 4 exons. NCBI's taxonomy places the organism in Eukaryota, Metazoa, Mollusca, Bivalvia, Mytilida, Mytilidae. The record is from RefSeq and is a predicted model, not a curated record.